RNAcentral lists this ribosomal RNA (447 nucleotides) under uncultured bacterium. Its description in RNAcentral is "partial 16S ribosomal RNA". It matches the Rfam family "Bacterial small subunit ribosomal RNA", at positions 29 to 523 of the family's 1533-position model. The record is from RNAcentral.
AGCGAACGCUGGCGGCAGGCCUAACACAUGCAAGUCGAGCGCCCAGCAAUGGGAGCGGCAGACGGGUGCGUAACACGUGGGAAUUUGCCUUUCGGUGGGGAAUAACGCAGGGAAACUUGCGCUAAUACCGCAUACGCCCGCAAGGGGAAAGAUUUAUCGCCGAAAGAUAAGCCCGCGUCUGAUUAGCUAGUUGGUAGGGUAAUGGCCUACCAAGGCGACGAUCAGUAGCUGGUCUGAGAGGAUGAUCAGCCACACUGGGACUGAGACACGGCCCAGACUCCUACGGGAGGCAGCAGUGGGGAAUAUUGGACAAUGGGCGCAAGCCUGAUCCAGCCAUGCCGCGUGAGUGAAGAAGGCCUUAGGGUUGUAAAGCUCUUUUGUGUGGGAAGAUAAUGACUGUACCACAAGAAUAAGUCCCGGCUAACUUCGUGCCAGCCGCCGCCGUAA